GACACUGCAGAUAAUCAGUCAUCUCAUAUUUAUGAAAACACCUUGCCAAGACCAAAGGUGGAGAACAAUGAACUUACCAAAGAGGAAUCUAGUUACCAGGAUUUAACAUUCCAAGAUAAAGCAGAAUACAGCACUAUAAUUCUGACACCUAAGAAAUAAUCAAGUCAGGAUAAAUGCAGGAACUCCGAAGAUGGAUAUAAAC
Pelobates fuscus (common spadefoot toad) is the source of this 202-nucleotide long non-coding RNA. RefSeq lists it as uncharacterized. The record is from RefSeq and is a predicted model, not a curated record. The transcript is spliced from 4 exons. Lineage: Eukaryota; Metazoa; Chordata; Amphibia; Anura; Pelobatidae.